Molecule: ribosomal RNA, 874 nt
Filed under: uncultured Gammaproteobacteria bacterium
Lineage: Bacteria; Pseudomonadati; Pseudomonadota; Gammaproteobacteria
Description: bacterial SSU rRNA
Rfam family: Bacterial small subunit ribosomal RNA
Source: RNAcentral
AUUGAACGCUGGCGGCAGGCCUAACACAUGCAAGUCGAGCGGAUGAGGGGUGCUUGCACUCUGAUUCAGCGGCGGACGGGUGAGUAAUGCCUAGGAAUCUGCCCGAUAGUGGGGGACAACGUUUCGAAAGGAACGCUAAUACCGCAUACGUCCUACGGGAGAAAGUGGGGGAUCUUCGGACCUCACGCUAUCGGAUGAGCCUAGGUCGGAUUAGCUAGUUGGUGAGGUAAUGGCUCACCAAGGCGACGAUCCGUAACUGGUCUGAGAGGAUGAUCAGUCACACUGGAACUGAGACACGGUCCAGACUCCUACGGGAGGCAGCAGUGGGGAAUAUUGGACAAUGGGCGAAAGCCUGAUCCAGCCAUGCCGCGUGUGUGAAGAAGGUCUUCGGAUUGUAAAGCACUUUAAGUUGGGAGGAAGGGCUGUCGGCUAAUACCCUGCAGUUUUGACGUUACCAACAGAAUAAGCACCGGCUAACUUCGUGCCAGCAGCCGCGGUAAUACGAAGGGUGCAAGCGUUAAUCGGAAUUACUGGGCGUAAAGCGCGCGUAGGUGGUUCAGCAAGUUGGAUGUGAAAGCCCCGGGCUCAACCUGGGAACUGCAUCCAAAACUACUGAGCUAGAGUACGGUAGAGGGUGGUGGAAUUUCCUGUGUAGCGGUGAAAUGCGUAGAUAUAGGAAGGAACACCAGUGGCGAAGGCGACCACCUGGACUGAUACUGACACUGAGGUGCGAAAGCGUGGGGAGCAAACAGGAUUAGAUACCCUGGUAGUCCACGCCGUAAACGAUGUCAACUAGCUGUUGGGUUCCUUGAGAACUUAGUAGCGAAGCUAACGCGAUAAGUUGACCGCCUGGGGAGUACGGCCGCAAGGUUAA